CAAUAGCGUAUAUUUAAGUUGUUGCAGUUAAAAAGCUCGUAGUUGGAUUUCGGAUGGGCUUGACCGGUCCGCCGUUUGGUGUGCACUGGUCGUGCCUAUCUUGCUGCCGGGGACGCGCUCCUGGCCUUAAUUGACUGGGACGCGGAGUCGGCGAUGUUACUUUGAAAAAAUUAGAGUGUUCAAAGCAGGCCUAAGCUCUGAAUACAUUAGCAUGGAAUAACGCUAUAGGACUCUGGUCUUAUUGCGUUGGUCUUCGAGACCGGAGUAAUGAUUAAGAGGGACAGUUGGGGGCAUUCGUAUUUCAUUGUCAGAGGUGAAAUUCUUGGAUUUAUGAAAGACGAACUUCUGCGAAAGCAUUUGCCAAGGAUGUUUUCAUUAA
RNAcentral lists this ribosomal RNA (379 nucleotides) under uncultured eukaryote. RNAcentral's name for it is "partial 18S ribosomal RNA". It matches the Rfam family "Eukaryotic small subunit ribosomal RNA", at positions 592 to 976 of the family's 1831-position model. The record is from RNAcentral.